AAAUAAGGGCGGCGGCGGUGGUGGUGGAGGAGGAGGUGGAGGCGGCGGCAAUGUAAGCAAUAUUUGUGUUAUGCAACAUGCGUAUUAAUUAAAAAAGGCGGCGGCGUUGGCGGUGGUAGUGCAGGAGGAGCCGCAGCAGCCGCUGGAGCUGCUGGAAAUAAAAACAAAGGCGGUGGGGCUGGCGGUGACAAAGGUGGAGCCAAGAAAGGAGCAGACCAAAAGCCACCCCCAGGCGCUGGAAAGAAAGGAGGCAAGAAAUAGCAGUAGCCCUAAUGCCAAUGUGGCAACAUCAAAGCGCAUUAUAAAAUACAAAUUUAGAAUUAAGGUGAAAUUAAAAGGAUAUCAGGGAAUAUACUAUAUAUGUACACAUCUAUAAUGUAUGUAUGUAUAAAUCGCUCUUACAAAUAGCA
Drosophila miranda is the source of this 410-nucleotide RNA transcript. It is a transcript of the gene named glycine-rich protein 5, with no coding region annotated. The record is from RefSeq and is a predicted model, not a curated record. NCBI's taxonomy places the organism in Eukaryota, Metazoa, Arthropoda, Insecta, Diptera, Drosophilidae. The transcript has 2 exons.